This is a non-coding RNA of Camelina sativa (false flax), 155 nucleotides long. Lineage: Eukaryota; Viridiplantae; Streptophyta; Magnoliopsida; Brassicales; Brassicaceae. The record is from RefSeq and is a predicted model, not a curated record.
AUCACCAGAUCAAGAGACAUGAGUAAGGCCGUGCUGACAAGCAUUGUUCUGAAACGUAAUGUGACCAUGUUGGACAUAGCAAGCACCCGUAUGCUUGGCCAAUAUGGUUUCCUUGCCAGGGUGUUUACCACAUUUGAAGAUUUAGGCAUAUCGGU